Molecule: ribosomal RNA, 501 nt
Filed under: uncultured bacterium
Lineage: Bacteria
Description: partial 16S rRNA
Source: RNAcentral
GCACGGAGUUAGCCGGAGCUUACAAACAGUACCGUCAUCGUAAGAGAUAUUAACCCUUACUUAUUCUUCCUGUUCUUGCGAAGUUUACAUCCCGAAGGAUUUCAUCCUUCACGCGGCGUUGCUGGGUCAGGCUUUCGCCCAUUGCCCAAAAUUCCCGACUGCUGCCUCCCGUAGGAGUCUGACCCGUAUGUCAGUGUCAGUGUGGCCGACCGCCCUCUCAGGCCGGCUACGGAUCAUAGCCUUGGUAAGCCGUUACCUUACCAACUAGCUAAUCCGCCGCAGGCUCCUCUUCAGACGCGAGGUCUUGCGAUCCCCCGCUUUAACAACUGUCACCAUUAGGUGCCGCUGCAUUAUGCGGUAUUAGCAACCGUUUCCGGUUGUUAUUCCCCAUCCAAAGGUAGAUUACCUACGUGUUACUCACCCGUGCGCCACUCUACUUGCCCCCCGAAGGGGGCUUUCGCGUUCGACUUGCAUGUCUGAGGCACGCCGCCAGCGUUGAUU